This 1238-nucleotide ribosomal RNA is filed under the name Candidatus Phytoplasma fraxini. RNAcentral's name for it is "bacterial SSU rRNA". It matches the Rfam family "Bacterial small subunit ribosomal RNA", at positions 158 to 1392 of the family's 1533-position model. Lineage: Bacteria; Bacillati; Mycoplasmatota; Mollicutes; Acholeplasmatales; Acholeplasmataceae. The record is from RNAcentral.
GACUGCUAAGACUGGAUAGGAAAUAAAAAGGCAUCUUUUUAUUUUUAAAAGACCUUUUUCGGAAGGUAUGCUUAAAGAUGAGCUUGCGCCACAUUAGUUUGUUGGUGGGGUAAUGGCCUACCAAGGCGAUGAUGUGUAGCUGGACUGAGAGGUCGAACAGCCACAUUGGGACUGAGACACGGCCCAAACUCCUACGGGAGGCAGCAGUAGGGAAUCUUCGGCAAUGGAGGAAACUCUGACCGAGCAACGCCGCGUGAACGAUGAAGUAUUUCGGUAUGUAAAGUUCUUUUAUUGAAGAAGAAAAAAUAGUGGAAAAGCUAUCUUGACGUUAUUCAAUGAAUAAGCCCCGGCUAACUAUGUGCCAGCAGCCGCGGUAAGACAUAGGGGGCGAGCGUUAUCCGGAAUUAUUGGGCGUAAAGGGUGCGUAGGCGGUUAGGAAAGUCUAUAAUUUAAUUUCAGUGCUUAACGCUGCCUUGUUAUAGAAACUACCUUGACUAGAGUUAGAUAGAGGCAAGCGGAAUUCCAUGUGUAGCGGUAAAAUGUGUAAAUAUAUGGAGGAACACCAGAAGCGUAGGCGGCUUGCUGGGUCUUGACUGACGCUGAGGCACGAAAGCGUGGGUAGCAACCAGGAUUAGAUACCCUGGUAGUCCACGCCGUAAACGAUGAGUACUAAGUGUCGGGAUAAAACUCGGUACUGAAGUUAACACAUUAAGUACUCCGCCUGAGUAGUACGUACGCAAGUAUGAAACUUAAAGGAAUUGACGGGACUCCGCACAAGCGGUGGAUCAUGUUGUUUAAUUCGAAGAUACCCGAAAAAUCUUACCAGGUCUUGACAUGCUCUGCAAAGCUAUAGAAAUAUAGUGGAGGUUAUCAGGGACACAGGUGGUGCAUGGUUGUCGUCAGUUCGUGUCGUGAGAUGUUAGGUUAAGUCCUAAAACGAGCGCAACCCUUGUCGUUAGUUACCAGCACGUAAUGGUGGGCACUUUAACGAGACUGCCAAUUAAACAUUGGAGGAAGGUGAGGAUUACGUCAAAUCAUCAUGCCCCUUAUGAUCUGGGCUACAAACGUGAUACAAUGGCUGUUACAAAGAGUAGCUGAAGCGCGAGUUUUUAGCCAAUCUCAAAAAAGCAGUCUCAGUUCGGAUUGAAGUCUGUAACUCGACUUCAUGAAGUUGGAAUCGCUAGUAAUCGCGAAUCAGCAUGUCGCGGUGAAUACGUUCGCGGGGUUUGUACACACCG